CCGAACACUCAGCCAGUCAGGGUUGAUUUUCCAUGAGAGAACUGCAUCUGCUUCCUUCCAUUCUUCCACAGGAAACUGUGGAACACCGUCAGGGGCCACAGCAACCUCCCUCAAACCAGCAGUGAGCAAUCACUGGCCAGCACACACUCGCACAAUUACACACAUCUCUGCCCUACUAUAUACACCGUCUCAUUAUACUAUCAGCUCAAGAAGCUGUUGGCACAAAUUACCUCAGACCCAUUCACCCACACACACACUUUUAUAGUUUAGAAUAUUUAUCUGUUCUCUUGCCUUUCUUUACAUACAUAUAUCCUACAUCUAUGCCUGGUGACCUGUAUUAACAGCCAUCAGCCCUUUACAUGAGAACACGGCUAACGUCUCUGGAUUAAAGCCAUGGAUCUGCUCUUGUACUCUUCUAUUGUGCUCUGUGUGUCUCUCUCCCUCAUCUCAGCAGUGACCACAGCAAUGGCCAACACCAGCUCAGUCACUAAUACCACAACCACAGCAUCUGUAACACGCCACACAGAGGGCAAUACUACUUCCAGAAACUUCAGUACCAUCUCUCCCUCCAGCUCACCGGGACAACCCAAGCUGUUCAGCCCAACGUCAGCCGCAUUUACGUCUCACACCAGUGAGAGCUCUAAUACAAAAUCACGGCAAAUCACCGCCUCCUCUGCAGGGACCAAUCAAUCAGGUCAUGAGGUGCUAUUAGAAACUUCUACACCUGGGCAGGCCUCAAACAUUUCUUUAAGAAGAUCAACAGAUGAGCCCACAGCUGUCCCGCCAACACAGCCACCAGGCAACAGCCUCACUAUGUUAGCCUUCGGUGUGAUGAGCUUCAUUCUCGUUUUGAUUAUAGUUAUGAUCAUCUUAGUAACAGCUGUAAAUCUCAGAGGACGGUGUCAUAACACAAAGGAAGAAGGUGUUAAGAACUAUGACUCAGUGAUAUCAGAAAGCAAUUUGACCAGCACUGGAGAGAAAGAAAGCAUCACACUCGUCUCUGUGAGGUCCAUAAACACAGACGCUGACACUGAUUCACCACAGAUCUCAUCGGUUCACAGUACAAUACUGGACAGUGAGGACCAAGAACCCAGUAGAGAUCAUCUUCUCAGUGGCAGAGCACACUAAACUUCAAUCAUUCUACAGUAAUAGAGCUCUUCAUAAACAUGCCCCUUUGAGUCCAAUUACUCUAGAUUCUGGAACACCUGGUCACGUCAUGGAACUAGUAUCCGGAUUGUACUUUGAUAAGAUUUUAACCACCUGCAUUUACACUUAGUAGUCCACAAACUGCAUCUCAGGUUAAUUUGACUGAAUCUGAUUGCUGUCAGGAUGUAGUAUGCAAAAUCACAUAUUGCAAAGUUAUUAUUCGUUGUAUGGGGAGACUUGGUCACUUAAUGUGUCUUGAGUGUCAGCCAAACCACAUUUAAAUGCAGUAAGUACAAACUCACCCAAAAUGCAUUUAAAACAGGUCCAGUUCUGCUCACUCAAACACCUUCAGGAGGUGGUAUGAGAUGCAUUUGAGCCACAGGUUUUAGUAGUGAUAACACAUCCAGCUACACUAAUCCUACUAUAACUCAAACUCCAGUUAUUUUGGACAACAAGCAAAUUUGAAUAUUUAGUCCCCCACAGCAAACCAAGACAUAUUUAACUAUGAAAGGUAAAUGCAUGUGGCUAUAAUCUUAUCAGCAUAAAAUUCAGAAACUAAUCAGAUUAAGUCACCACGAGUUAAUUUUUUUUUUUUUUUUUUUGGAAAAUUCUGCAUGAAGGCUGGCCACUCAUUCCAGUGUAUACUUAAUAAUGAAUUACAAUGUUGUUUUAUCAAAAUGUCUUCAAAAUUCAGUUACUAAAGUGUCAGCAGUACCAUUCAUAUUUGUUGGGUGAAAUUGUGAAAGGACUUGUUAACUUAUUGACAGUAAGUGUUUUUGAUUAACUCUAGUUUCAUAUAGAUAGACAACAUUAGAUAAAUAAAAUCAAACAAGACCCAGGAAGAAUAGAUUGA
Molecule: long non-coding RNA, 1999 nt
Filed under: Astyanax mexicanus (Mexican tetra)
Lineage: Eukaryota; Metazoa; Chordata; Actinopteri; Characiformes; Acestrorhamphidae
Description: lncRNA (ENSAMXG00005014586.1)
Source: RNAcentral